UUUUAUGGAGAGUUUGAUCCUGGCUCAGGAUGAACGCUGGCGGCGUGCCUAAUACAUGCAAGUCGAGCGAACGGACGAGAAGCUUGCUUCUCUGAUGUUAGCGGCGGACGGGUGAGUAACACGUGGAUAACCUACCUAUAAGACUGGGAUAACUUCGGGAAACCGGAGCUAAUACCGGAUAAUAUUUUGAACCGCAUGGUUCAAAAGUGAAAGACGGUCUUGCUGUCACUUAUAGAUGGAUCCGCGCUGCAUUAGCUAGUUGGUAAGGUAACGGCUUACCAAGGCAACGAUGCAUAGCCGACCUGAGAGGGUGAUCGGCCACACUGGAACUGAGACACGGUCCAGACUCCUACGGGAGGCAGCAGUAGGGAAUCUUCCGCAAUGGGCGAAAGCCUGACGGAGCAACGCCGCGUGAGUGAUGAAGGUCUUCGGAUCGUAAAACU
Molecule: ribosomal RNA, 443 nt
Filed under: Staphylococcus aureus
Lineage: Bacteria; Bacillati; Bacillota; Bacilli; Caryophanales; Staphylococcaceae
Description: bacterial SSU rRNA
Rfam family: Bacterial small subunit ribosomal RNA
Source: RNAcentral